RNAcentral lists this ribosomal RNA (497 nucleotides) under uncultured bacterium. RNAcentral describes it as "partial 16S ribosomal RNA". It matches the Rfam family "Bacterial small subunit ribosomal RNA", at positions 28 to 507 of the family's 1533-position model. The record is from RNAcentral.
GAUGAACGCUGGCGGCGUGCCUAAUACAUGCAAGUCGAGCGAACAGACGAGGAGCUUGCUCCUCUGACGUUAGCGGCGGACGGGUGAGUAACACGUGGAUAACCUACCUAUAAGACUGGGAUAACUUCGGGAAACCGGAGCUAAUACCGGAUAAUAUAUUGAACCGCAUGGUUCAAUAGUGAAAGACGGUUUUGCUGUCACUUAUAGAUGGAUCCCGGCCGCAUUAGCUAGUUGGUAAGGUAACGGCUUACCAAGGCUACGAUGCGUAGCCGACCUGAGAGGGUGGUCGGCCACACUGGAACUGAGACACGGUCCAGACUCCUACGGGAGGCAGCAGUAGGGAAUCGUCCGCAGUGGGCGAAAGCCUGACGGAGCAACGCCGCGUGAGUGAUGAAGGUCUUCGGAUCGUAAAACUCUGUUAUUAGGGAAGAACAAAUGUGUAAGUAACUAUGCACGUCUUGACGGUACCUAAUCAGAAAGCCACGGCUAACUACGUG